GGGCGGUUAGCUCAGCGGUAGAGCACCACGUUGACAUCGUGGGGGUCACAAGUUCGAACCUUGUACCGCCCACCA
Molecule: transfer RNA, 75 nt
Filed under: Sphingopyxis sp.
Lineage: Bacteria; Pseudomonadati; Pseudomonadota; Alphaproteobacteria; Sphingomonadales; Sphingopyxidaceae
Also listed under: 2 other names
Description: tRNA-Val
Rfam family: tRNA
About the family: Transfer RNA (tRNA) molecules are approximately 80 nucleotides in length. Their secondary structure includes four short double-helical elements and three loops (D, anti-codon, and T loops).
Source: RNAcentral